This 3574-nucleotide small RNA is filed under the name Drosophila virilis. RNAcentral describes it as "GJ26296". Lineage: Eukaryota; Metazoa; Arthropoda; Insecta; Diptera; Drosophilidae. The record is from RNAcentral.
UGCCGUUGUUCUUAUUGCGUCUUUACCUGCGUAACUGUUGCAUUUAGUUGAAUUGUGCGAACUGAACUGAACAGAACAGAACGUAUUGUGCAUGUCUAUUAAUAUUGAACUUCGCUAAUAUUGGAUUAAUUACAUUUGGAACCAGCACAAAAGAUAAAAGUCCUUACGGAACUGACAUCUAAUCUAUAGCUUCACGGAGUUUCUUUGAAGCUUUUAGCACGCAACGAGCGCAUACACGAUCAAUGCUGAUGGUUCGUAGAUGACCCACAUAUCUUCGAUCAUGCCAUAUCAGAGAUAUAGUCCUGGCGAACCUAAAUACCCGAAUUUUUGUAAAAUAAGCAAAAAUUUGGCCGAGAAAUAUGUAUGAUUUUACUUUCAGCCGGCCUUAACAGCCUUCACUGGUUCCUAGUUGGCGUAAAUAUCCUUGAUUAUACCAUAUCAUAGAUAUUGUCCUGGUGAACCUAAAUCAGUAUAUAUUCGCCCAAUAUGCAUGGAAAUGGUCCAGAAAUAUACUGACGUGAAGUGACCACAUCUCAGGUAAUUUAAUCCCGAAUUGCAGGAGAUCAGGAAAAGGAACUUUUGACACAGGAUUCACAGAUUCACACAGGAUUGUUUAGACCAAGACCAAAGAACAUCAUUAUCGCCCUUGCAGUUUCUAAGAUAUGAAGAAGGAUAUGAAAUGUGCAAGGAUAUGGCCGAUUUAUAGCCAUUUUUAUAAAAAGGACAUUCGUUUUGCCAUAACCAUGCCAAGAAUAUCGGAAGGAUACAACUUUUUGAGUGUGUGAAAUGAAUUGUAUGGACCAGGUCUAUCAUCUGACAAAAGGGCAUCGAAUUCGUCCUUGUAGUUUCUAAGAUAUGGAGGAUUUUGUGUAUUUUGCCAGUUUUCCUUGCCCGAAAAUUUUUACAAGUACAGGAUUCUUAGAUGACCCCAUAAUUUUUUGAUGCAGAUCGAUGCAAUUGGUCCUUACGAUCAUAAAGCACCAUGUCCUGCAAAAAUGUGCAAGGAUAUGGCCGAGUUAUGGCCAUUUUUCUAAAAAGGACAUUCGUUUUUUGGCCAUAGCCCUGCCAAAUCCUGAAGGAUAUCGGAAGGAUAUACCUUUUUGAGCUCGUAGGAAGCAGGACUAUCGAUUCGCAUUCAAGGAUUUCCAGGAUUCAAUCAAAAAUUUACCUAAAAAAUUUUCCUAGGGGGUUGCUCACAAAAUCGGCAAAAAUCAAUAAAAUCAGGGCUAACUUGGCCAUUUUAAGGACUAUCAUGAUGUCCUUUGCACAGUAGAUAGUCCUCGUCCCCCCAAUUACGAAUUAGCAAUAAAAAGGACGAAAAUCCUUCAAACGGCGGAGCAAAAAUGCCAAAUUUACAAACACAAAAUAGCCUAUAACUCAGCUAUAUCCUUGCGUAUCCUGACGAGUCCUGUGUCAAAUGAAUUGUAUGGACCAGGUCUAUCAUCUGGCAAAAGGGCAUCGAAAUCGUCCUUGUAGUUUCUAAGAUAUGAAGGAUUUUGUGUAUUUGGCCUGUUUUCCUUGCAAAUUGAGGCCGAAAAUUUUUACAAGUACAGGAUUCUUAGAUGACCCCAUAAUUUUUUGAUGCAGAUCGAUGCAAUUGGUCCUUACGAUCAUAAAGCACCAUGUCCUGCAAAAAUGUGCAAGGAUAUGGCCGAGUUAUGGCCAUUUUUCUAAAAAGGACAUUUGUUUUUUGGCCAUAGCCCUGCCAAAUCCUGAAGGAUAUCGGAAGGAUAUACCUUUUUGAGCUCGUAGGAAGCAGGACUAUCGAUUCGCAUUCAAGGAUUUCCAGGAUUCAAUCAAAAAUUUACCUAAAAAAUUUUCCUAGGGGGUUGCUCACAAAAUCGGCAAAAAUCAAUAAAAUCAGGGCUAACUUGGCCAUUUUAAGGACUAUCAUGAUGUCCUUUGCACAGUAGAUAGUCCUCGUCCCCCCAAUUACGAAUUAGCAAUAAAAAGGACGAAAAUCCUUCAAACGGCGGAGCAAAAAUGCCAAAUUUACAAACACAAAAUAGCCUAUAACUCAGCUAUAUCCUUGCGUAUCCUGACGAGUCCUGUGUCAAAUGAAUUGUAUGGACCAGGUCUAUCAUCUGGCCAAAGGGCAUCGAAAUCGUCCUUGUAGUUUCUAAGAUAUGAAGGAUUUUUUGUAUUUGGCCUGUUUUCCUUGCAAAUUGAGGCCGAAAAUUUUUACAAGUACAGGAUUCUUAGAUGACCCCAUAAUUUUUUGAUGCAGAUCGAUGCAAUUGGUCCUUACGAUCAUAAAGCACCAUGUCCUGCCAAAAUGUGCAAGGAUAUGGCCGAGUUUUGGUCAUUUUUCUAAAAAGAAUAUUGGUUUUUUUGUCAUAAUUCUGCACUGGGGAGCAGGACUAUCGAUUAGCAUUCAAGGAUUCGACCGGAAUGGGAAAACAGACCGAAAACACAAAUAUGUUAAUUCUAAUAUAAUGCCUUACCGUAUUUUUAAUGUUUCUAUAAAGUAUAAUUAUUUAAUACCUGCGCAAUUCCCACAUUGUUGCUUCAUUUAUGGCUUGAGCAACUUUCAAGACGCAAUUUGGUUAAUUAGAAUUAGUUAUUACAUUUUCUCAUAGUUGUUGCAGCUGCAGUUGUUGACGUUAAACAAACGAUAGAAAUUAUUCUCAUUUCUAUAGCUGUUCCAAUUGUUUUCAUUUAAUAUAACGCCCACAAGCGUUUGAAGGAAUUACGGGUUAUUUUGCAUAUACAAUUUUAAUAUUUCUGAGACAUUUAUUAGACACAAAUAGAAUGUAGUUAUAGUAUAAUAUACUCUAUAUGCUCGUAUGCUAUAUAAGCGAUAUAAUUGUAAUAACUAAAAUGUACACGCUAAACGACUAAGACAAUGCAUUGCGAGAGCUUGAGCGAAAGUGAGAGGGAACUAGUUAGUUUAUCUCGGUCUCCUGCUCUCUCUUUCGCUCCGCUUAGCUCUGUGCAACUAAAGACUAACGAGAGAAUAGGUAAUUGUAAUUGUAAUUAAAUUGCAUUAAUUAUAAACAAUUACGAAUACAGUUUCACGAAAUACAAUGCACAACAUACGAAACAACAUUUAAAUUAUGAGGAGAAAUUAAUAAAUUCAUUUCAACUAUUUGAAUAUAACAUUAAAUAUGCAUAGUUUAUGUUGUUGUUAUUGUUGUUGUGGCUGUUGUAGGUGCAGCUGUUGCAUAACUUCUUCUAGUUAAAUAAUGUACGAGAUAUAUAUAUAUAUAUAUAUGUAAUAUUGCUUAUCUAUAUAAUAUACUUAUAUGCAUAUUGUAUAUGUAUAUGUAUUUGUUCAUAUAUGUGUGUAUUUUGAUAUUGCUGCGGGCGUCUUCGUCUGCUCCCUUCGCCGCUGUCUUUGCUGCUGCUUCUUCUUCUGCCUCUCUUGUUGCAGCCUUUGCAAGACGAGCUUUAAGCUAUAUUUAUGUUUUUUUUUUUUGUUUAAGCUUAGUUACAACAUUCGUUAAUUUUGUAAAAUUUAAAUGUGACUCAAACUGGAAGCGACAGCAAAAUGAUAAAUGGCUUUUGUUUUAAUUGUUUAUGUUUUGUUUUUUCCUUCUUUGCCACAUCGCAUCGUUUAAAAAUAUUAACUAAA